Molecule: long non-coding RNA, 1130 nt
Organism: Ictalurus punctatus (channel catfish)
Lineage: Eukaryota; Metazoa; Chordata; Actinopteri; Siluriformes; Ictaluridae
Exons: 3
Source: RefSeq, a predicted model, not a curated record
UUUACAGACCGUCAAGGACGUUAGAAGGUGAAAUGGAAAAUAACACAACAAGCCUCAGUAUAUUUUCUUUUCUGUUUUCUUUAAAGUAUCAGAAUCAGAAGCAUUUUAUUCGCCAUAUACAUUUACGCGUAUUAGGAAUUUUUCUUGGUGUUUUGGUCACACCACGGAACCUUCAACACACACCUCACACAAUUAUCAUACUUAUACACGAAUAUUACACCUAAUAUACGAGUAUUACACCGUAAGUGGGAAUGUUACGCUCGGUUGUAAUUUACAUUCUUCUGAAGCAAAGAGAAAGGAAAUAGAAGAGGGGAGGAAAGGGGAAAAAAUGGAGAGAAAAAAGGAGAAAAUAAAGAAAUAUUAUGCAGAAAUAUUAUUAUUCUUAAAAUGUUUAUUUAUUCAUUCAUUUAUAACACAGAAAUAGAAGAAUAUACAAAAGGGGUGGAACGCAAGAUAUAUACACAACUUAUAUACACAAUACAUCCAAAAGGUCGUUAUUUCAUUAAAUUAAUACAAAUAUUAAACUAUUCACAUGUACUGCAGGCAAAUAUCUUCGCGUAGUUUUAUAGACGAGGUUAAUGAAAACUCCAGACUACUCAGGAUAUUUAGAUAUUACUGAAAGCACUUUUAUAGAAUCUUAAUGCUGAAACGUUGAGAAUAACAUAGCUAAUAUGUGCUAAUGUUGUGAAAGCUAAUCCAAGCGUUUCCGGAUUGUGGACAGGAAAAACUCGUGAUAUCCAAUAGGAUGGGUCUAAAUUGAUCACGUGAUGUAGAAACAGCCAAUCAGCGGGUUAAUUAAAUCAGUUCGCUUUAAUGAAGCUCUUCGUUUGUAACAGUGGAGGAGCUAAAAAUAAUCCGAAUGGAUUUCGAUUGGAAACAUUAUUUAAAAAAAAUGCAGCUGAAGAGCUCCGGGAGAGGAAAGAGAGAAUAAAGUGGACAGAAGUGUCAGGGAUAAUAAUAGUUAUCAGGAGAGACGAAGACAGUCCUUUCCACCAGAUUUUGGCCGGAGCAGAUUAAUGAGAAGCAGACCUGACCGAAGAUCUGUAUCUCCACCUCAAACACACCAGGAGAACUUUCUCCUCCACAAAACUCCAUGAAGUUCCUCUCACCCUCUUCAGGUCAAAGUUCUU